This 229-nucleotide long non-coding RNA is filed under the name Ictidomys tridecemlineatus (thirteen-lined ground squirrel). Its description in RNAcentral is "lncRNA (ENSSTOG00000030522.1)". The record is from RNAcentral. Lineage: Eukaryota; Metazoa; Chordata; Mammalia; Rodentia; Sciuridae.
AAAUCAUCUUUGGCAUCGAAUUCUUAAUUUUCAAAAGUUUGUGAAGAAAGAGUGGAGGUGCCAGUUUGUGCUCUCAUUUUUAUGAAGCAAUCGACCAGAAUCCGACCACGUCACCAUCUCGGAGCCAGAGACCCACCGGGCUCACAGAGCUCCACCGCCUCGUGUGACAUCCAUCCCUGGCUGCCCAGGCUCUCAGGUGAAGUCUGAGCUGCUCCUGCCUCUGCGGACU